RNAcentral lists this microRNA (22 nucleotides) under Bombyx mori (domestic silkworm). Its description in RNAcentral is "bmo-miR-3267c". Lineage: Eukaryota; Metazoa; Arthropoda; Insecta; Lepidoptera; Bombycidae. The record is from miRBase by way of RNAcentral.
GACUGAGCUCGUCCAUUCAUCU